CUUGGUGUUACUGCGAAGGGGGGACGGAGAAGGCUAUGUUAGCCGGGCGACGGUUGUCCCGGUUUAAGCAUGUAGGCUGGUUGUCCAGGCAAAUCCGGAUAAUCAAGGCUGAGGUGUGAUGACGAGGCACUACGGUGCUGAAGUAACAAAUGCCCUGCUUCCAGGAAAAGCCUCUAAGCAUCAGGUAACAUCAAAUCGUACCCCAAACCGACACAGGUGGUCAGGUAGAGAAUACCAAGGCGCUUGAGAGAACUCGGGUGAAGGAACUAGGCAAAAUGGUGCCGUAACUUCGGGAGAAGGCACGCUGGUGUGUAGGUGA
RNAcentral lists this ribosomal RNA (319 nucleotides) under Klebsiella pneumoniae. Its description in RNAcentral is "partial 23S ribosomal RNA". It matches the Rfam family "Bacterial large subunit ribosomal RNA", at positions 1443 to 1765 of the family's 2925-position model. The record is from RNAcentral. Lineage: Bacteria; Pseudomonadati; Pseudomonadota; Gammaproteobacteria; Enterobacterales; Enterobacteriaceae.